This 78-nucleotide small RNA is filed under the name Xanthomonas euvesicatoria pv. citrumelonis. Its description in RNAcentral is "sX9". RNAcentral also lists the same sequence under 1 other name. Lineage: Bacteria; Pseudomonadati; Pseudomonadota; Gammaproteobacteria; Lysobacterales; Lysobacteraceae. The record is from RNAcentral.
AUGUAGCUGUGCGUGCACUGAGGGUCUGAGUACGCAGUCCAUGCUCACCUGACGACUGCUCGCUGCGUUUUGCCAGCC